UACAGAGGGUGCAAGCGUUAAUCGGAGUUACUGGGCGUAAAGGGCGCGUAGGUGGUUUUUUAAGAUAGAGGUGAAAUCCCUGGGCUUAACCUAGGAACUGCCUCUAUGACUGAGGAACUGGAGUAUUGUAGAGGGUAGUGGAAUUUCCGGUGUAGCGGUGAAAUGCGUAGAGAUCGGAAGGAACACCAGUGGCGAAGGCGGCUACCUGGACAAAUACUGACACUGAGGCGCGAGAGCGUGGGUAGCAAACAGG
Molecule: ribosomal RNA, 253 nt
Filed under: uncultured bacterium
Lineage: Bacteria
Description: partial 16S ribosomal RNA
Rfam family: Bacterial small subunit ribosomal RNA
Source: RNAcentral